Dicentrarchus labrax (European seabass) is the source of this 664-nucleotide long non-coding RNA. RefSeq lists it as uncharacterized. The transcript is spliced from 2 exons. The record is from RefSeq and is a predicted model, not a curated record. Lineage: Eukaryota; Metazoa; Chordata; Actinopteri; Moronidae.
CGACAGACCGCGAUGAAGAGGCAGUGAGAGGGUGGAGGAGCGUUUCGACAUGGCAGACAGUGCGAGGUCUCAGCUGCCAGAAGAUCUGAAUUCAGCCAGUUUUCCUCGGUCUGAUGAGUCUCUUCAUUAAAUCUGCCCCAGUCUUCUUCCCUCGCUGCAGAAACCAGCUGACUUUGCACUGUGGGGUGAGGUAGUAGGUUGUAUAGUUUUAGGGUCACACCCGCACUGGGAGAUAACUAUUCAACCUACUGUCUUUCUCAAAGUGCCAAACGCACGUCUCAGCCUCCGCCCCCGCUGAAGGCCAGUUUUCUGACAUCAGUGUUUGCAUGGAUCCAGAUGUUUUAAAAUGGCAGUUGUUUUAUCACAGCUGCUCACACAGUGUGAGGUAGUAGAUUGUAUAGUUGUAGGGUAGUGAUUUUGCCCUGUUCUGGAGAUAACUAUACAAUCUAUUGCCUUCCCUGAGGAGUGGCAUAUCUUCAGGUUUUUUUUUUUUAAUGAAAUGCACAAUGUAUAUCUGAUAAACUAUUAGCCAGUAAUGGGAAAUGUAUGUUCUAUAUUUAUGUAUUAAAUGAUCAGUCAAUAAUAAUAAAUGAUUGAGAGUUCUUAUGCAGAAUGUUUCAUAGGCUUUGUGUGCAGAAAUAAAGGAACAUUUGAAGAGUCAGAA